This 130-nucleotide non-coding RNA is filed under the name Propionibacterium sp. oral taxon 192 str. F0372. Lineage: Bacteria; Bacillati; Actinomycetota; Actinomycetes; Propionibacteriales; Propionibacteriaceae. The record is from RNAcentral. RNAcentral also lists the same sequence under 1 other name.
CAGUCGGUCACAGGUUAGGGUUGAAGGGCUCACAUCUCGGGGGAAUCUGGUGCGAUUCCAGAACUGACCCGCAACCGUGAGACGACCCUGGUCGUCGAGUCGGAGAACCCGUCAUGUCACGCACAACCCG